RNAcentral lists this ribosomal RNA (460 nucleotides) under uncultured bacterium. RNAcentral describes it as "bacterial SSU rRNA". It matches the Rfam family "Bacterial small subunit ribosomal RNA", at positions 917 to 1382 of the family's 1533-position model. The record is from RNAcentral.
GGGCCCGCACAAGCGGUGGAGCAUGUGGUUUAAUUCGACGCAACGCGAAGAACCUUACCAGGUCUUGACAUCCGGUGCAAGACACUAGAGAUAGUGGGAUAGUUAUGGCCGAGACAGGUGGUGCAUGGUUGUCGUCAGCUCGUGUCGUGAGAUGUUUGGUUAAGUCCAGCAACGAGCGCAACCCUUGUCCUUAGUUGCCAUCAUUAAGUUGGGGACUCUAAGGAGACUGCCGGUGUAAAUCGGAGGAAGGUGGGGAUGACGUCAAAUCAUCAUGCCCUUUAUGACCUGGGCUACACACGUGCUACAAUGGGCGGUACAAAGAGAAGCGAGACAGUGAUGUUAAGCAAACCUCAAAAAGCCGCUCUCAGUUCGGAUUGAAGUCUGCAACUCGACUUCAUGAAGCCGGAAUCGCUAGUAAUCGCGAAUCAGCAACGUCGCGGUGAAUACGUUCUCGGGCCUU